GAGUUGAUCAUGGCUCAGAACGAACGCUGGCGGCAGGCCUAACACAUGCAAGUCGAGCGUGAAAGGGGCUUCGGCCCUGAGUAAAGCGGCGCACGGGUGCGUAACACGUGAAUAAUCUGCCCCCGAGACCGGGAUAACAGACCGAAAGGACUGCUAAUACCGGAUAAGCCCACGGACCAACCGGGUCUGCGGGAAAAGAGCGGGAACCUUCGGGUCCGUUUGCUCGAGGAUGAGUUCGCGUCCCAUUAGAUAGUUGGUGAGGUAAUGGCUCACCAAGUCGACGAUGGGUAGCUGGUCUGAGAGGAUGAUCAGCCACACUGGAACUGAGACACGGUCCAGACUCCUACGGGAGGCAGCAGUGGGGAAUCUUGCGCAAUGGGGGAAACCCUGACGCAGCCAUGCCGCGUGAGUGAUGAAGGCCUUCGGGUUGUAAAGCUCCGUCUGAGGGGACGAACGUCCACGGCGACAACAACGCCGUGGAGUGACGGUACCCUCAAAGAAAACACCGGCUAACUCCGUGCCAGCAGCCGC
This 531-nucleotide ribosomal RNA is filed under the name uncultured bacterium. RNAcentral describes it as "bacterial SSU rRNA". It matches the Rfam family "Bacterial small subunit ribosomal RNA", at positions 9 to 518 of the family's 1533-position model. The record is from RNAcentral.